Molecule: RNA transcript, 4463 nt
Organism: Oncorhynchus gorbuscha (pink salmon)
Lineage: Eukaryota; Metazoa; Chordata; Actinopteri; Salmoniformes; Salmonidae
Gene name: thyroid hormone receptor-associated protein 3-like
Exons: 11
Source: RefSeq, a predicted model, not a curated record
GUAAUGUUAGCUAGCUAACUGAUUGCAACAUGUUCAAGUAGGAAGCAGAAGGGGGUUGGACGCAUGUUCAUUCAGAUUACUGGUAAAGUGAACAGUGCAGACUGACUGUAGGCUAUUUCGCGCCCAAGAAACUGCUUCCUACCAGGUAAACCUCUAGACAGGCCUGACAGUGGAGAUGUCUAAAGCGCCAGAUGGCCCCGCACGGACCCGCUCCAGGUCAAAGUCCAGGUCCAGGUCUUGCACACGGUCUCGUUCCAGAAGCCGCUCCCGUUCCAGGUCCAGGAAGCACCGCUACAGUUCUAGGUCACGUUCCCGCUCCAGAUCUCACUCUCCGUCCCACGGCAGGAACUAUCCCACCAGAGACUACCAGAACAACCGGGGUUACCAGAGGGGCUACAACCGUGGCUUCCGCAGACCCUUUUACUUCCGCGGUAGAACCCGGGGCUUCUACCCUCGCCAGGGUUACCAGAGAGGAGGUAACAGCUACGGCUACAGAGCCAACAACUGGCAGGGGGGAGGCUACCGGGAUGGGCCGCCCCACGACCAGGACCACCACGGUCCUCACAGCCCCAGGAGGGGGAGAUCUCGGUCCCGCACGCCCCGGAAACGCUCAGGCAGCCGCAGCCACUCCCGGUCUCGAUACUCUGACCGUUCGUCCUCCAGGGGUUCCCGACGGUCCCGGCGGCACCACAGCUCCUCUUCCCGCUCCUCUUCCCCGCGGAAUCGCCGCAGCAGCCCCGGCUCAGGGAAGCCUGGCUCUAAAGAUGUAAAGGACAAGACUACACCAGCAGAGGCCAAGGAGGAGAGGGGAGGGGCUGGGGAGCAGGUAGGAGGACCAGGGGGAGAAGGCAGCAGUCAUGAUAAGGCCUCUGCUGGGAAAUGGCAGGGUCUGAGUGACUAUAACAACAGCCCCAAAUGCAGCAGUCCGGCUGUUGGUGCCAAACAGGGGAAGUCUGACCCCAAAGGGUCAUUGUGGAGAACCAUGGGCAGCACUGGCGGUGUUCCCUCUACCAAGAGCCCACCGGGCUCCACCAGUGGGUUUGGUUUUUUUGGCAAGGAGGAUCCCACCAGAGCAGACGAUAAGACUGCUAUUUCCUCUGCUUUCAAGAAGUUCUUGGCAGAAAACAAGAACAAAAAGCAGCAGCAGGCGGCGGCAGAGUGGGAGAAUGGCCAGGACGGAGACAGCAGAGAGAAAGGGAACAGCAAGAUUGGAGGAGGCCUUUUCAACAUAACAGCAGCCUCCUUCAGCUCCAAGGCCGAUAAGUCUCUGCCCUUCCUGGAAAGAGCCGAAGAGGCCUUCCUCAAGUCUCAGGCUGCUGAAAGAGAGGAGGAGGAGGAGGUGGUCAAGCCCAAAGGAGCCACCCUGACAACACGGGAUGUGUUUGGGAAGUGGGAAGACGAGCCCCAUUACUACCCCCCGGGGAAGGAUGAGGAGAGACGGAGAGACACGGCCGAAGACGUGGAUGAAGACCUGGAACACAUGGAAGAGGAGCUUUACCGCAGCCGCAAGCAGGCCUCCAAGAAAGAAGAGAAGUCCAAGAGGAAGGAGAAGAAGAAGGAGAAGAGCAACAGGAGGAGUCCAUCUCCCGUCAGUGCAGCAGUGCCCCCUAGGGGUUCAGGCAGCGGGGAGAAGGACAGGCCCCUAGCCCUGUUCCCCAUCAAUAGGUUGGAGUCACACCUACCCCGGUCCUCUGGGAAGAGGGAGGGUUUGGAGCACAGUAUCAACACAUUUGAUGAAAUGCCCAGCUCCUCUGGAAGUCUGACUAAGGAGCGUGGUUUGUCCAGGGAUCUGGUGCAUCCCAGUAAGAAAGAUCCCGGACAGUUCCGCUCCAUUUUCCAACACAUACAGGCUGCUCAACUCCAACGCAGCCCCUCUGAGCUGUUUGCGCAGCAUAUUGUCACCAUUGUGCACUACAUCAAAGCACAACAUUUCCACUCUUCAGGCAUGACUUUAAGUGAGCGAUUUGCCAUGUACCAAAGAAAAGCAGCUGAGAUGGAAUUGAUUAAACAAAGGAAGAGUCCAGAAAUCCACAGGAGAAUCGAUGUCUCCCCCAGUGCUUUUACCAGACACUCUCACCUGCUUGAGGAGCUGGAGGACUGCAGCUACAAGGAUCGGGGUAGAACAGCCAAAACGGACCCAAUGGACCUGCGUCUGGAUAUAGAGCGCCGUAAAAGGUUUUCUGGGAAGGAGCAACGGGACGGGGGCAAGGGCUCCCAAGGACCCAGCCAAGAGAGGUCCUCAGAGAAAUCUUCCAAACGCCACAAGAAAUCAAAAAAAAACAAGAAGAAUCGUAAUCGCUCUCCAUCCUCCUCCUCCUCUUCCUCCUCCUCUCCAUCUCCCUUCAGAGAAGGGUUCAGAGGUAAAAACCACAUGAUGGGGGAGGAAAUGGAGCAUAUGGACCAGGGCUACAGUAAGCCUCGCUUCGGGUCCCGUGACUAUGAGGGCCCCAUGGAUAGAUGUCCCCCCCGUGACUAUGAGGGCCACAUGGAUAGGGGUCCCCCCCGCGACUAUGAGGGCCCCAUGGAUAGGGGCCGAGGACGUGGAGGAUUUCUUCCCAGAGUAAGAGGAGGAGGAAGGGGCUGGAAUAGGGGCAAUUACCAAGGUAACACAAGCAGCAAUGGCAACCCCCCUCCUAAUAUGAACGCCGCCCCCCCAGAGCGCCCCCCCAGAUGAGGACUGGGACCCAGAGUACACCCCCAAGAGCAGGAAAUACUACUUUCAUGAUGACCGUGAGGACGAGAAGACAUGGCUGGAGAGCUGUGGCCGAGGGGUCUUUCCCCACAGCAGGGGUCGCUUCAUCUACCGCAAGGGGGGCAGAAGCCCCAACAAGUGGACUCAUGACAUGUUCCAGACUGGCGAGGAAGGGGGUGGGAACAAGGAGGAGGAGCACCACAAAGAGUUGGACCAGAAAGACGACAACCAGGCCGCCGUAGACCCCGCAGCUUCCUCCAAACUGUAGUAGAGGACUAGGCCCUGUUACUUCUCUUGCUCCUCCUCAUCCUCAUCCUCUUGCUCCUCCUCCAUCCUCUUGCUCCUCCUUCAUCCUCUUGUUCCUCCUCACCCAUCUUCUACCACCAGAGCUUUCUGUCCAUUUGUGAGAGGUCAUGUGAUCCUCUGAGAUCAUCUCUGUGUAGGCUAUAGGAGCCUGCACACAGUCACAUCAGACUGUACAUGAUACACUGGUCUUUGUAUUGUUGAGGCAGUGCCACUUUCAGUAAGUUGUGAAAGAUGUUGAAUUGAACUUGAGUUAAGAGCAAUAGUUUUUUAUUUUAAUUACUUCUAGUAAUUUGUUUCUCUUUCUGAGUGUUUAAUUACUACCAGUAAUUUGUCUUUGUUUAUCUGUCUGUAUUUGUUUUGUGAACAGCUGACUGGUUUUCAGUUGUUUUCUGGGUCUGCAAUGGUGAUGGUAUUGCAGCUACAUUGAUUUAAAACUUCAAGGACAAAUUAUUUUCCCUGUUAAGACAUUGAAAUGACAUGCAUUUGUGCCUUAAAGUUUAUAUUCAUACAUGGUGAUAUAUGUGCAUUGCUCUAAUUCUGUGCAAAUGUUCUGCUGUACUAGCUAAUGCAAGCCUUUAGCUAAACAUGUGUUUUGGGCAAUGAUACGUUUCUGAGGGUAUUUGCAUAACCAUUUGGACUCUUAACUCUCCACCCCAUUGGACCAACCUACUGUGGGUACUGAACUCCCCACCCCAUUGGACCAACCUACUGUGGGUACUGAGAACUCCCCACCCCAUUGGACCAACCUACUGUGGGUACUGAGAACUCCCCACCCCAUUGGACCAACCUACUGUGGGUACUGAGAACUCCACAUUAGAGUUUCUCAGAUUGUCCCAUUUGAGAAUUCUUCAUCAUAUCCUAAGCAUUUUCAUUACUGCCAAUACUUCUGCUCUCCUACUUUUUGGGGGGUUGAGGUUUUGUGUGGUGCCCCCCCUCCUGUUGAUACUGGAUGUUUUUCUGUUUUUAAAGCAAGGAUUUUCACUGUGUAAAAUGAAAGGACUGUGACAAAAAAUAGUUUGUUUCCGAGUAAAUUAAAAAAAGUUUAAAAAAUAAUAUUGUUAUUGAGGCAUUUAUCUUGGGAGAUAAGUGUUUAUAUAGGAUACUGUAUGUUUUAAUAACAUUUUUGAAAAUGGAUCAGUUUAUGGGCUUGUCGGAGUCCUUCAGUAAUGUUCUUUAUCCAUAGGUAAACUUGGACUGUUGAGGUUUAUGUCAUAAGAUGUAGAGAACAUUUCCCUAUAUGUGGCAAGUACUGUCAAAGUAUAAUUGUUGGGUGGUUAAACAGGUGAGUAGGGUUUAGUGAGGUACUGGGCUGCUUUGUUUGGCCUAUCCAGACUGUCCUGUACUGUAGGACUGUGAUUUAAAUUUUUGUUUUUUUAUGCUACAUUUGAAACUGACGCUAACAUAUUUUCUGUUACUUCAGAGCUUUGAACUACUCUUAAAUGUUCAAUAAAUACGUUCUCCGGUU